GUAAUGUAGAUUAAAAUGUCAUCCAACUAUAAAUUCCCCCAAAAUGCAUGGACCAAGAUCCUACCCAAGAUUGAGACUUGAGGAAGGACUGACUGUAUCCUUUAAAGGCACAAACUCAUUUUUUCUUCUCUUUGGUACCCUGUGCCACACUGUAAAGAAGCCCAGGCUAUCUUGCUGGAGGGAGAGUCCAUAUGAAGAAAGCCCCUGACAUAUGAAAGACCACAUGGAAAGGGAGACUACAUGAAGCCAACAGUCAGCACCUUAGUUCGGGACAUAAAAAGCCAUUUCAGACCUUGUAGUCUAAAUCAGGCGUUCGCUGUAUGAGUGAGCCUAGGUGACACUAGAGCAGAACCU
RNAcentral lists this long non-coding RNA (354 nucleotides) under Marmota monax (woodchuck). The record is from RNAcentral. Lineage: Eukaryota; Metazoa; Chordata; Mammalia; Rodentia; Sciuridae.